GCCUGGGUGGCGGAAUUGGUAGACGCUGCGGACUUAAAAUCCGUUGCCCUUUUGGGCGUGAGGGUUCAAGUCCCUCCCCGGGCA
Molecule: transfer RNA, 84 nt
Filed under: Actinomycetota bacterium
Lineage: Bacteria; Bacillati; Actinomycetota
Also listed under: 1 other name
Description: tRNA-Leu
Rfam family: tRNA
About the family: Transfer RNA (tRNA) molecules are approximately 80 nucleotides in length. Their secondary structure includes four short double-helical elements and three loops (D, anti-codon, and T loops).
Source: RNAcentral